Molecule: ribosomal RNA, 301 nt
Filed under: uncultured bacterium
Lineage: Bacteria
Description: partial 16S ribosomal RNA
Rfam family: Bacterial small subunit ribosomal RNA
Source: RNAcentral
CAGCAGCCACGGGAAUACGUAGGGUGCAAGCGUUGCUCGGAAUCACUGGGCGUAAAGGGUGCGUAGGCGGGUCUUUAAGUCAGGGGUGAAAUCCUGGAGCUCAACUCCAGAACUGCCUUUGAUACUGAAGAUCUUGAGUUCGGGAGAGGUGAGUGGAACUGCGAGUGUAGAGGUGAAAUUCGUAGAUAUUCGCAAGAACACCAGCGGCGAAGGCGGCUCACUGGCCCGAUACUGACGCUGAGGCACGAAAGCGUGGGGAGCAAACAGGAUUAGAUACCCCUGUAGUCCCUGUCUCUUAUAA